Molecule: unclassified non-coding RNA, 69 nt
Filed under: Desulfocicer vacuolatum DSM 3385
Lineage: Bacteria; Pseudomonadati; Thermodesulfobacteriota; Desulfobacteria; Desulfobacterales; Desulfobacteraceae
Source: RNAcentral
AACCGCCCUAUGCGGACCUGCUUGCGGGGUGGUGUGGGGGCUGGGGAUUAAAACCCCCGGCUACCCGAU